AGGUCGUUUUGGGGGCAAUUCCUAAGUAGACUCUUAUAGCGUUCCCAUGCUUUAUAUAGCAACUCUCCUAUUUGUUGUUCAAAAUUGGCAAUGGCCUUUUUGAGCUU
Small nucleolar RNA from Lactuca sativa (garden lettuce), 107 nucleotides. The record is from RefSeq and is a predicted model, not a curated record. NCBI's taxonomy places the organism in Eukaryota, Viridiplantae, Streptophyta, Magnoliopsida, Asterales, Asteraceae.